Molecule: non-coding RNA, 31 nt
Filed under: Mus musculus (house mouse)
Lineage: Eukaryota; Metazoa; Chordata; Mammalia; Rodentia; Muridae
Source: RNAcentral
UACCUAAAUCAAAUUGAACUUUGCUUCCGGG